CACGUAGGCACCAAGCGUUGUCCGGAUUUAUUGGGCGUAAAGAGCUCGUAGGCGGUUCAGUAAGUCGGGUGUGAAAACUUUGGGCUUAUCCCAAAGCGUGCAUCCGAUACUGCUGUGACUUGAGUUCGGUAGGGGAGUGGGGAAUUCCUAGUGUAGCGGUGAAAUGCGCAGAUAUUAGGAGGAACACCGGUGGCGAAGGCGCCACUCUGGGCCGAAACUGACGCUGAGGAGCGAAAGCGUGGGUAGCAAACAGG
This 254-nucleotide ribosomal RNA is filed under the name uncultured bacterium. RNAcentral's name for it is "partial 16S ribosomal RNA". It matches the Rfam family "Bacterial small subunit ribosomal RNA", at positions 524 to 776 of the family's 1533-position model. The record is from RNAcentral.